Molecule: ribosomal RNA, 274 nt
Filed under: Bacillus sp. (in: firmicutes)
Lineage: Bacteria; Bacillati; Bacillota; Bacilli; Caryophanales; Bacillaceae
Description: Bacillus sp. (in: Bacteria) partial 16S ribosomal RNA
Rfam family: Bacterial small subunit ribosomal RNA
Source: RNAcentral
CGCUCUUGCGGCAGCUAUAAUGCAGUCGAGCGACUGAUUAGAAGGCUUGCUUCUAUGACGUUAGCGGCGGACGGGUGAGUAACACGUGGGCAACCUGCCUGUAAGACUGGGAUAACUUCGGGAAACCGAAGCUAAUACCGGAUAGGAUCUUCUCCUUCAUGGGAGAUGAUUGAAAGAUGGUUUCGGCUAUCACUUACAGAUGGGCCCGCGGUGCAUUAUCUAGUUGGUGAGGUAACGGCUCACCAAGGCAUCGAUGCAUAGCCGACCUGACAGG